RNAcentral lists this ribosomal RNA (433 nucleotides) under uncultured bacterium. RNAcentral describes it as "partial 16S ribosomal RNA". It matches the Rfam family "Bacterial small subunit ribosomal RNA", at positions 29 to 507 of the family's 1533-position model. The record is from RNAcentral.
AACGAACGCUGGCGGCAUGCCUAACACAUGCAAGUCGAACGAGACCUUCGGGUCUAGUGGCGCACGGGUGCGUAACGCGUGGGAACCUGCCCUUAGGUUCGGAAUAACUCCCCGAAAGGGGUGCUAAUACCGGAUAAUGUCUUCGGACCAAAGAUUUAUCGCCUUUGGAUGGGCCCGCGUUGGAUUAGCUAGUUGGUAGGGUAAAAGCCUACCAAGGCGACGAUCCAUAGCUGGUCUGAGAGGAUGAUCAGCCACACUGGGACUGAGACACGGCCCAGACUCCUACGGGAGGCAGCAGUGGGGAAUAUUUGACAAUGGGCGAAAGCCUGAUCCAGCAAUGCCGCGUGAGUGAUGAAGGCCUUAGGGUUGUAAAGCUCUUUUACCCGGGAUGAUAAUGACAGUACCGGGAGAAUAAGCUCCGGCUAACUCCGUG